AUCUAUAGCCAUGCUACCCUGAACAAGCCUGAUCCCAUCUGAUUUCGGAAGCUAAGCAGGGUUGGGCCUGGUUAGUACUUGGAUGGGAGACCACCUGAGAAGACCAGGUGCUGUAGGUG
RNAcentral lists this ribosomal RNA (119 nucleotides) under Pteropus alecto (black flying fox). RNAcentral also lists the same sequence under 1 other name. Lineage: Eukaryota; Metazoa; Chordata; Mammalia; Chiroptera; Pteropodidae. The record is from RNAcentral.